CAUCGCCUCUUGAAUAAUAAAUAUAAGAGGUCCCGCCUGCCCUGUGACUUUAAGUUUAACGGCCGCGGUAUUUUGACCGUGCGAAGGUAGCGCAAUCACUUGUCUUUUAAAUGAAGACCCGUAUGAAUGGCACCACGAGGGCUUAGCUGUCUCCUUUUUCAAGUCAAUGAAAUUGAUCUCCCCGUGCAGAAGCGGGGAUAAUAACAUAAGACGAGAAGACCCUAUGGAGCUUCAGACCUAGUGCAGAUCACGAAAAAUACUUUAAGACAAAAAAGAAAAGCCCAAUGACCCCUGCACAACUGUCUUUGGUUGGGGCGACCGCGGGGAAAAACAAAACCCCCACGAGGACUGAGAGUUUUACUCCUAAAACCAAGAGCCACAGCUCUAAGUAUCAGAAAUUCUGACCUAAAUGAUCCGGGCAACCGAUCAACGAACCGAGUUACCCUAGGGAUAACAGCGCAAUCCCCUUCCAGAGCCCAUAUCGACAAGGGGGUUUACGACCUCGAUGUUGGAUCAGGACAUCCUAAUGGUGCAGCCGCUAUUAAGGGUUCGUUUGUUCAACGAUUAAAGUCCUACGUGA
RNAcentral lists this ribosomal RNA (580 nucleotides) under Allocyttus folletti. RNAcentral's name for it is "partial 16S ribosomal RNA". It matches the Rfam family "Bacterial large subunit ribosomal RNA", at positions 1814 to 2603 of the family's 2925-position model. The record is from RNAcentral. Lineage: Eukaryota; Metazoa; Chordata; Actinopteri; Zeiformes; Oreosomatidae.